AAUACAUGCAAGUCGAGCGAACGGAUAAGGAGCUUGCUCCUUUGAAGUUAGCGGCGGACGGGUGAGUAACACGUGGGUAACCUACCUAUAAGACUGGAAUAACUUCGGGAAACCGGAGCUAAUGCCGGAUAACAUAUAGAACCGCAUGGUUCUAUAGUGAAAGAUGGUUUUGCUAUCACUUAUAGAUGGACCCGCGCCGUAUUAGCUAGUUGGUAAGGUAAUGGCUUACCAAGGCGACGAUACGUAGCCGACCUGAGAGGGUGAUCGGCCACACUGGAACUGAGACACGGUCCAGACUCCUACGGGAGGCAGCAGUAGGGAAUCUUCCGCAAUGGGCGAAAGCCUGACGGAGCAACGCCGCGUGAGUGAUGAAGGUUUUCGGAUCGUAAAACUCUGUUAUUAGGGAAGAACAAAUGCGUAAGUAACUGUGCGCAUCUUGACGGUACCUAAUCAGAAAGCCACGG
This 464-nucleotide ribosomal RNA is filed under the name grassland soil clone saf3_107. RNAcentral's name for it is "bacterial SSU rRNA". It matches the Rfam family "Bacterial small subunit ribosomal RNA", at positions 50 to 496 of the family's 1533-position model. The record is from RNAcentral.